GUGAUUCCCCAGUUCGCGUUUCGUUUCUUUUCAGAUCUUCUGUUUCCCCAAUUCUACUCGUUUAGGGUUUUUCUCUGUCGUGCUCCUGUGCGAUUAUAUACGGUCUACGUUUGUUUGAUUUCCGAUUCUCUUAAAUUUGGUUUGAUCUGAGAUUUUUGCUUACUGGAAUUCGAGGAUGUUUGAGGAUCAGAUCGCAUACUUGUUGCAGAGAAGCUUGGGGAAGCUUUGAAGGCCAGCGUUUGGUAAGGUGAUAUGGUGUCAUCUUCCAUACUGUUGGCACCAGAUAACACUGGAGAUAAACAUCAACCAAUGCUUAAGAUAAUGAAACUGCGGGCAUCCAAGUCUAUCCAUACGUCUAUGUAUGGAAUACUUGGAGAGUAAACAUUCAUGAGCCUAUCAUUUGGGCUUCAGCUGAUUUCUACAAUAAUCUUCAGUUGGAUCACAUCCCCAAGAGUUCUUGCGCCGCCUGAGUUGGUCCUGAGAUUUGAAUAAAGUAUUACUCAGUCUGUUUUACUUGUUCCAUUAGGGCAUGCAAUUCAUCAUGCAAAUCCCAUACUGGGAAUCAAAUCAUGAUAUUUUUCGGGGGUUCUAUAUGAUUACUGAGCAGAUCGGCCUCAUAGAUGUUUCAGAAGUAAGGAUCAAAAUCUCACUAGAAAGAUAGAAACAGCACCUGCUCAAAGAUCUCAUGUAGUUCUCGGUGUGUGAGUACCAUUCUAUCUGCUGUUGGCAAUGUGUUUAAAAUUCUGGUUAGGUCUAUCAUCCUUGAAAAUUCAAAAUACCUUCUUACGGUGUCAACUCCUGCAGUCUAUAAUAGUAUAUGACUAGUUCUGAUUUCUGGAGUUUAAUUUUUAGGUAAUUUGAAGGUUGAUACUACCGGCUAAGUUUGAGAUACUUGUUCCUAAUGCAAUAUAUAUACUCAUGUAACUCAAUAUUUGUUCAACUGAUGGUCAAUUCCUACUGUGAGAAAGACAGGUAGCCACUGUUCCCAUGUAUACGUCACUUUGGCUGUUUGUUUAAACUUUAAAGAGUUCUCAAAAUAGACCAGGUUUGGUCAUGGAGAAUCAUUGGUUUAGACGAUGCAAAUUUUCAAAGAAUCGAAGCCUGUGGAGAGUGCCAGACAGAAUGGUCAUUCGGGAUUCACCCGUGGGAUGGGGGGACGUGCUUUCACAGGAUUCAUCGUCCAUCCAGUGAGUGGUGCAUCAGAUGUUUUCUCAUUGACGGUUACUGGAAUUGGUGCUAGUUGUACCAGAUGCAUUGGAGAGAAUUAGAAAACCCCAAGUUAUUCAUGCAGAUUGUGUACUCAGGGAGUGUGAUGAGAAGAAAGCUAUUGGCCAGAUGGUUCUUCAGGGAACCCUCGAAAUUUGUGCUGCCGGGCUACUGCGUAGAGCAUUUCAUUGUUCCAUACAAGCGCGUCAUCAUGGUGACCAAGAAAAGAAUAAUGGUAUUACAGACCACAAUGUGAAGGCCAGUGUGCAAAAAUCCUGGAGCAGCGAGCCGGAAUCUGAAGGCCAGUGUGCAAAAAAUCAGAUUUGUGGUGGUGGCCAUCCUCCAAAUGCUGCAGCUUUUUCUACCUUCCUCGUGGGAUAUACGACCUUGAAUGAGGGUGAAAGAGUAGAAAGAUGUGGUCUUCGACUUUGUGACGAGAUUCUGAUUUUGGAGAUCCAUUACACGCCUCUCCUUCCUGAUAAUAAAGGGUACCUCUUUUACUUAAAAACAAUGUUUUUUUUUCAAUUUUUUUUUUAUUUUGUCUUCCUUGUAAUAAAUAUGGCAGUGUGUGUGUUGUGUAUUAUUACUUAAUACGCUGGAUUGAUUUUGUCUUCCUUCAUUCUAUUUUUUUUUAAUUGUUGCACGAUACGUACAUGUUACAGUAAAUAUUUGGAGAACAUAGUAACCCACCCUCA
Molecule: RNA transcript, 1901 nt
Organism: Tarenaya hassleriana
Lineage: Eukaryota; Viridiplantae; Streptophyta; Magnoliopsida; Brassicales; Cleomaceae
Exons: 7
Source: RefSeq, a predicted model, not a curated record